Molecule: ribosomal RNA, 185 nt
Filed under: uncultured bacterium
Lineage: Bacteria
Description: partial 16S ribosomal RNA
Rfam family: Bacterial small subunit ribosomal RNA
Source: RNAcentral
CCUUCAUGAAGCUGGAAUUGCUAGUAAUGGCAGGUCAGCAUACUGCCGUGAAUACGUUCCCGGGCCUUGUACACACCGCCCGUCACACCAUGAGAGUUGGAAAUACCCGAAGCCUGUGAGCUAACUUAAAGAGGCAGCAGUCGAAGGUAGAGCCAAUGAUUGGGGUGAAGUCGUAACAAGGUAGC